RNAcentral lists this transfer RNA (71 nucleotides) under Salix viminalis (osier). The record is from RNAcentral. Lineage: Eukaryota; Viridiplantae; Streptophyta; Magnoliopsida; Malpighiales; Salicaceae.
GGAUGUAGCUAAAUUGGUAUAACUCUUGCUUUGUACAUAAUAGGAGCAGGGUUCGAUCCCCUGUAACUACA